UCUUGACAUCCACGGAAGUUUUCAGAGAUGAGAAUGUGCCUUCGGGAACCGUGAGACAGGUGCUGCAUGGCUGUCGUCAGCUCGUGUUGUGAAAUGUUGGGUUAAGUCCCGCAACGAGCGCAACCCUUAUCCUUUGUUGCCAGCGGUCCGGCCGGGAACUCAAAGGAGACUGCCAGUGAUAAACUGGAGGAAGGUGGGGAUGACGUCAAGUCAUCAUGGCCCUUACGACCAGGGCUACACACGUGCUACAAUGGCGCAUACAAAGAGAAGCGACCUCGCGAGAGCAAGCGGACCUCAUAAAGUGCGUCGUAGUCCGGAUUGGAGUCUGCAACUCGACUCCAUGAAGUCGGAAUCGCUAGUAAUCGUGGAUCAGAAUGCCACGGUGAAUACGUUCCCGGGCCUUGUACACACCGCCCGUCACACCAUGGGAGUGGGUUGCAAAAGAAGUAGGUAGCUUAACCUUCGGGAGGGCGCUUACCACUUUGUGAUUCAUGACUGGGGUGAAGUCGUAACAAGGUAACCGUAGGGGAACCUGCGGUUGGAUCAC
Molecule: ribosomal RNA, 547 nt
Filed under: Escherichia coli
Lineage: Bacteria; Pseudomonadati; Pseudomonadota; Gammaproteobacteria; Enterobacterales; Enterobacteriaceae
Also listed under: 1 other name
Description: bacterial SSU rRNA
Rfam family: Bacterial small subunit ribosomal RNA
Source: RNAcentral